AGCGAACGCUGGCGGCAGGCCUAACACAUGCAAGUCGAACGAACCUUUCGGGGUUAGUGGCGGACGGGUGAGUAACACGUGGGAACGUGCCUUUAGGUUCGGAAUAACUCAGGGAAACUUGUGCUAAUACCGAAUGUGCCCUUCGGGGGAAAGAUUUAUCGCCUUUAGAGCGGCCCGCGUCUGAUUAGCUAGUUGGUUGAGGUAAUGGCUCACCAAGGCGACGAUCAGUAGCUGGUCUGAGAGGAUGAUCAGCCACAUUGGGACUGAGACACGGCCCAAACUCCUACGGGAGGCAGCAGUGGGGAAUCUUGCGCAAUGGGCGAAAGCCUGACGCAGCCAUGCCGCGUGAAUGAUGAAGGUCUUAGGAUUGUAAAAUUUUUUCACCGGGGACGAUAAUGACGGUACCCGGAGAAGAAGCCCCGGCUAACUUCGUG
Molecule: ribosomal RNA, 434 nt
Filed under: uncultured bacterium
Lineage: Bacteria
Description: partial 16S ribosomal RNA
Rfam family: Bacterial small subunit ribosomal RNA
Source: RNAcentral